RNAcentral lists this ribosomal RNA (253 nucleotides) under uncultured bacterium. RNAcentral describes it as "partial 16S ribosomal RNA". The stretch from base 27 to 253 matches the Rfam family "Bacterial small subunit ribosomal RNA", at positions 550 to 776 of the family's 1533-position model. The record is from RNAcentral.
UACCAGCACCCCGAGUGGUCGGGACGAUUAUUGGGCCUAAAGCAUCCGUAGCCGGUCCUACAAGUCUUCCGUUAAAUCCACCUGCUUAACAGAUGGGCUGCGGAAGAUACUAUAGGGCUAGGAGGCGGGAGAGGCAAGCGGUACUCAGUGGGUAGGGGUAAAAUCCGUUGAUCCAUUGAAGAACACCGGUGGCGAAGGCGGCGACCUGGUCCGUUACUGACGCUGAGGCGCGACAGCGUGGGGAGCAAACAGG